Paramuricea clavata is the source of this 73-nucleotide non-coding RNA. The record is from the annotation of a GenBank genome assembly. Lineage: Eukaryota; Metazoa; Cnidaria; Anthozoa; Malacalcyonacea; Plexauridae.
CCUCUGUAUCUCAGCUGGAUAGAGAGCUGUACUAGAAACGCAGGGCCGAAGGUUCGAUUCGUCCCAUAUAGGA